Molecule: transfer RNA, 95 nt
Organism: Baudoinia panamericana
Lineage: Eukaryota; Fungi; Ascomycota; Dothideomycetes; Mycosphaerellales; Teratosphaeriaceae
Rfam family: tRNA
About the family: Transfer RNA (tRNA) molecules are approximately 80 nucleotides in length. Their secondary structure includes four short double-helical elements and three loops (D, anti-codon, and T loops). Further hydrogen bonds mediate the characteristic L-shaped molecular structure. tRNAs have two regions of fundamental functional importance: the anti-codon, which is responsible for specific mRNA codon recognition, and the 3' end, to which the tRNAs corresponding amino acid is attached (by aminoacyl-tRNA synthetases). tRNAs cope with the degeneracy of the genetic code in two manners: having more than one tRNA (with a specific anti-codon) for a particular amino acid; and 'wobble' base-pairing, i.e. permitting non-standard base-pairing at the 3rd anti-codon position.
Source: Rfam
GCAGGGAUGGUGUAGUUGGUCAUCACGACUGUCUAACAAUGUUCAUAUAUUGUUCAGCUCACAGUAGGUCCCGGGUUCAAACCCCGGUCCCUGUA